ACUCCCAAACCCAAUGUGAACGUUACCAAACUGUUGCCUCGGCGGGAUCUCUGCCCCGGGUGCGUCGCAGCCCCGGACCAAGGCGCCCGCCGGAGGACCAACCAAAACUCUUUUUGUGUACCCCCUCGCGGGUUUUUUAUAAUCUGAGCCUUCUCGGCGCCUCUCGUAGGCGUUUCGAAAAUGAAUCAAAACUUUCAACAACGGAUCUCUUGGUUCUGGCAUCGAUGAAGAACGCAGCGAAAUGCGAUAAGUAAUGUGAAUUGCAGAAUUCAGUGAAUCAUCGAAUCUUUGAACGCACAUUGCGCCCGCCAGUAUUCUGGCGGGCAUGCCUGUCCGAGCGUCAUUUCAACCCUCGAACCCCUCCGGGGGGUCGGCGUUGGGGAUCGGCCCUGCCUUUGGCGGUGGCCGUCUCCGAAAUACAGUGGCGGUCUCGCCGCAGCCUCUCCUGCGCAGUAGUUUGCACACUCGCAUCGGGAGCGCGGCGCGUCCACAGCCGUUAAACACCCAACUUCUGAAAUGUUGACCUCGGAUCAGGUAGGAAUACCCGCUGAACUUAAGCAUAUCAAUAAGCCGGAAGGAAA
RNAcentral lists this ribosomal RNA (581 nucleotides) under fungal endophyte sp. HCCB1621. Its description in RNAcentral is "eukaryotic LSU rRNA". The stretch from base 190 to 343 matches the Rfam family "5.8S ribosomal RNA". Lineage: Eukaryota; Fungi. The record is from RNAcentral.